RNAcentral lists this ribosomal RNA (253 nucleotides) under uncultured bacterium. Its description in RNAcentral is "partial 16S ribosomal RNA". It matches the Rfam family "Bacterial small subunit ribosomal RNA", at positions 524 to 776 of the family's 1533-position model. The record is from RNAcentral.
UACAGAGGGGGCAAGCGUUGUUCGGAAUUACUGGGCGUAAAGGGCGCGUAGGCGGCCUGCUAAGUCGAACGUGAAAUCCCUGGGCUCAACCCAGGAACUGCGUCCGAUACUGGUUGGCUUGAAUCCGGGAGAGGGAUGCAGAAUUCCAGGUGUAGCGGUGAAAUGCGUAGAUAUCGGGAGGAACACCAGUGGCGAAGGCGGCUUCCUGGCCUGUUCUUGACGCUGAGGCGCGAAAGCUAGGGGAGCAAACGGG